RNAcentral lists this ribosomal RNA (274 nucleotides) under uncultured bacterium. RNAcentral's name for it is "partial 16S ribosomal RNA". It matches the Rfam family "Bacterial small subunit ribosomal RNA", at positions 523 to 796 of the family's 1533-position model. The record is from RNAcentral.
AUACGGAGGGUGCGAGCGUUAAUCGGAAUUACUGGGCGUAAAGCGCGCGCAGGCGGUUAGAUCAGUCGGGUGUGAAAGCCCCGAGCUUAACUUGGGAACUGCAUUCGAUACUGUCUAGCUAGAGUAUGGUAGAGGGAAGCGGAAUUCCGGGUGUAGCGGUGAAAUGCGUAGAUAUCCGGAGGAACACCAGUGGCGAAGGCGGCUUCCUGGACCAAUACUGACGCUCAGGCGCGAAAGCGUGGGUAGCAAACAGGAUUAGAUACCCCGGUAGUCC